GAGGUGAUGGUUCAGCGGUAGAAUUCUCACCUUUCACAUGGGAGACCUGGGUUUGACACCCAGCCAACACG
RNAcentral lists this transfer RNA (71 nucleotides) under Loxodonta africana (African savanna elephant). It matches the Rfam family "tRNA". Rfam says of the family: Transfer RNA (tRNA) molecules are approximately 80 nucleotides in length. Their secondary structure includes four short double-helical elements and three loops (D, anti-codon, and T loops). Lineage: Eukaryota; Metazoa; Chordata; Mammalia; Proboscidea; Elephantidae. The record is from Rfam by way of RNAcentral.